This 16109-nucleotide long non-coding RNA is filed under the name Nicotiana tabacum (common tobacco). Its description in RNAcentral is "long non-coding RNA (NTAB_LNC009262)". The record is from RNAcentral. Lineage: Eukaryota; Viridiplantae; Streptophyta; Magnoliopsida; Solanales; Solanaceae.
AUUCUCCAAACCUACACGAUCGCAUGCACCAAUUUGCGACCGUAAAUAACAAUGUAUUCACCUGUCCAGGUCCUCCCUUCUUCACGGCGAACACGACAACUACCACGUGUUCGCGAUUUACCGGCCUCUCAAGAUUCGCGAUCGUGCAUGCCUUCACGUGACCACAAAGAACAAAAUUAGGUCUGCCAGCUCAAAGCUUCAUGAUCACGACCUCUUAUUCACGAUCGCGUAAGAGGAAACCAAAACUGAAGAGAACCCAAACUUCAGCAAUUCCUCAAUGAUCCGAAAUGCGCCGAACAUGGUCCGAAUCACACCCGGGCCCCCUAGGACCUCAACCAAGCAUACCAAAAAGUCUUAAAACAUCAUACGAGCGUGCUCGAAGCGUCAAAUCACAUCAAACAACACAAAAAUCACAAAUCGUGCAUCGAUUCAAGCCUAAGAACUUAUGAACUUCUGAAUUUCCGAAACUAAUGUCGAUUCAUAUCAAACCAACUCCGAUUGACCUAAAAUUUUGCACAUAAGUCAUAAUUGACAUUACGGACCUAUUCCAACUUUUGGAAUUAGGAUCCGACCCUGAUAUCAAUAAAGUCCAGUCCCGAUUAAACUUCUCAAAAUUCCACCAAUUUCCAUUUUUUGCCAAAUUACAUUGAAAUGACCUACGAGCCUCCAAAUCAACAUCUAGACGCGCUCCUAUGAAAAAAUCACUAUAUGAGCUAUUGGAAUCAUCAAAACUCCAUUCCGAAGUCAUCUUUAUACAAGUCAAACUAUGGUAAACUCCUACAACUUAAACUUCCAUUUUUGUGGACUAUGUGUCCCAUUUCACUCCGAAAAUCACUCGAAACCAAAACCAAACACCACAGCAAGAUACACAAUCACAUAAAUGAAAUAGAGGAAGCAAUAAAUAGGGGAUUAGAGCUAAUAUACUCAAAACGACCAUCCGGGUCGUGACAUCCUCCCCCUCUUAAAACAAAUGUUCGUCCUCGAAUGAGUAUAGAGACAUACCUGAGGUGAUUAAAAGAUAAGGAUAAUGGCUACGUAUAUCAUGUUCAGUCUCCCAAGUUGCCUCCUCAACUGGUUGACACCUCCACUGAACCUUAACUGAAGCAAUGCCCUUCGACCUCAACUAUCGAACCUGCCUGUCACGACCUAAAACCAAACCAUCGUGAUUGUACCUAUCGUGGAACUAGGAAAGCCAACUACUUAACCAUUUCAACACAGCAAAAGCUUUGAAAAAUACGGAAGCAAUUAAUAUUAAGGAAAACCUUUUAAAAGCAGAAUAAAAUUCAUAACUUAAUACAAAAUCUCUCCCAUAACUGAGGGUAUUACUGAGUACAUAAGCAUCUAUACAGGGAUAUAGCCUAAUACAACAUCUAGAGAAUAAGAACUGAAACAUAAAUGAAGAUAAGGAGGUAGAGUCAAGGUCUACGAAUGACAAGACCGAAAGAUCCGAACUCCGCAAUCGCCGUGACCGAAAGCACCUGGAUCUACACAAAAGGUGCAGGGUGUAGCGUGAGUACAAUCAACUCAAUAAGAAAUAAAUCUAACCUUUGGACUAAAAGUAGUAAUGAACUCAAUUGGUAUAGUUCAAUAUAGAAAUAACAAUGCAGAAAACGUAGACAUGCUUUCAAGUUCAACAGUUAAACUAAAUAUAGUAAGAUAGAUCAAUUUUGAAUGAUGUGAGAAAUAUAACUUCUCUACUUUUACAUGCCAAUGCACAUGUUGUAUGUGAUGCACCAUGCUAAAAUCCUCGUGUUCUCACACUCUCGAAAUGCUCAAUCACUCAGUACAGUAUAUGGCCAAUCCGACACAGGAAAGAUCCAUCCCGGAAAUAUAUACAUCAAUUGAUAGUUAGUCACUUAGUACUAGUGUAACGACCCAGUCGGUCAUUUCGAGAGUUGUAGCUCGUUCCCCUAUUUUCUGCUUCUUUUAUGUUCUACAACUGUAUUAUGACUUAUCGGGUUAGUUGGUUCGGGUCUGGAGUGAGUUCAGAAUGAAUUGAGACACUAGUAUCUUAUUUGAAAACUUAAGUUGGAAAAGUUGGCCGGAUGUUGACUUAUGUGCUAAUGACCUUGGAUUUUAAUUUUGAUGGUUCCGUUAGCUCCGUUAGGUGAUUUUAGACAUAGGAGAGCGUCUGAAUUGUGAUUUGGAGGUCCGUAGUAGAAUUAGGCUUGAAAUAACGAAAGUUGGAAUUUUGAAAAAUUUGACCGAGGGUAGACUUUUUGAUAUCGGGGUCGGAUUGGAUUUUCGGAAGUUGGGGUAGGUUCGUGGUGUCAUUUAUGACUUGUGUGCAAAAUUUGAGGUCAAUUGGACGUGAUUUGAUAGGUUUUGACGUCCUUUGUAGAAUUUGGAAAUUUCAAAGUUCAUUAGGCUUGAAUCCGUGUGUAAUUCAUGUUUUUGACAUUGUUUGAGGUGAUUUGAGGAUUCGACUAAGUUUGUAUCGGGUUAUAAGACUUGUUGGUAUGGUAGGUUGAGGUCCCCAGGGCCUCAGGUUGAUUUUGAGUGGUUAACGGACUUCAUUUUGAGUUGGUGAAACAGCUAAAUUGCUGCUACUACUGGUGUAACCGCACCUGCAGAGUGGGCACCGCAGGUGCGAGCUCGUAGAAGCAUGGCAUGAAUUGCACAAACGGCCAAGAAAGAGUUGGGUAGAGGUCGUAUGUGCGAAGACUUUACCGCACCUGCAAUGGUUGCAGAAGUGGGAAGAAGGGUGCUAAUAAGCUCAAAUUACAAUUAAAUAAAUAGUGUAAGGCGGCCGGUGUCAAAUAUAAUAACCCAACAAGGUUGGGGUCGAAUCCUACAGGGAAUAGGUGUGAAAAGGUUACUUGAAUAGUGUGAAACUUGACUUAAGUAGUAAUUCUACUCCUUUAGCUAAAAAAGAGAAUGUUGUAAUUGUGAAUUAACAAGAUAACUAUUUUGUUAUGAGACAAAUAGGUGUGAAAAGGUUACUUGAAUAGUGUGAAACUUGACUUAAGUCGUAAUUCUACUCCUUUAGCUUAAAAAGAGAAUGUUGUAAUUGUGAAUUAACAAGAUAACUAUUUUGUUAUGAGAGAGUACUUAAUUUGGUUAAGAAAACCAAGGUUGUGUCCUUUUCAAUGGAAUGUAAUGCUAUCGGUGUUAAUAUAAUAUAUUUCUAAUGGAAUGUCCUUUGAUAUGCAAAUGGUUUCUAAGUGACUACCCGAUAUUUUCCAAUAGUUGAGUAGUAUUUUCUCUUUAUGAUUUUCCCAAAUAUAAAAGAGUUGCAACUAAGAAUAACCAAUUUAUGCCAAGUAGAACCCACUUAUUCCUAAGUGAUUCUGUUAAACAAAGUUUAAAGUCUUGAGUUUUUUAUAUUUAAUUCUACCAAACCCUAACCCACUUUUCCAAGUAAAUAUAGAGUGAAAUGGAAUUAGUCAAUGUUUGUAACCACCAACAAUAAACGAAGCAUAAGAAAUGAAUAAAUAUCAACCNNNNNNNNNNNNNNNNNNNNNNNNNNNNNNNNNNNNNNNNNNNNNNNNNNNNNNNNNNNNNNNNNNNNNNNNNNNNNNNNNNNNNNNNNNNNNNNNNNNNNNNNNNNNNNNNNNNNNNNNNNNNNNNNNNNNNNNNNNNNNNNNNNNNNNNNNNNNNNNNNNNNNNNNNNNNNNNNNNNNNNNNNNNNNNNNNNNNNNNNNNNNNNNNNNNNNNNNNNNNNNNNNNNNNNNNNNNNNNNNNNNNNNNNNNNNNNNNNNNNNNNNNNNNNNNNNNNNNNNNNNNNNNNNNNNNNNNNNNNNNNNNNNNNNNNNNNNNNNNNNNNNNNNNNNNNNNNNNNNNNNNNNNNNNNNNNNNNNNNNNNNNNNNNNAUUUUACAAAGAUAGAAGAUUCUCUCUUCAAAAGCUUCCAAAAUAAUGGUGUAUUCAAUGCCUUCAAUGUAGCCUCUUUUUCAGACAAGAUAACCCACAAAACCCUAGUAAAUCUAUUUAUAAUGGGCCAAAAGUUGGGGUCAAAUUUAGUAAAAAAUGCCCCUGUAGAACAUAUCUGCGACCGUAAAAUGGGUCGCAGAUCAUGUAUGCAGUUCGCAGAAAUGCAAAGUCACCACAUAAUUGCACGCCUAUUUGACCAUUUCCCCAUCGCAAAUCCAUUAUGCGGUGCGCAUAUUGCUUAUGCGACCGUAGACUACAUCGCAGAAGUGCUCUCGCAGAAUCUCCUUUCGCAGUUAUGCGACCAUUAUGUGGUCCACAGAAGCGUUAUGCGACCGCAUAAUAGACCACAUAUUUCUUUCCUCAAGAACUGGACCACCUGCUUCAGUCUGCAGUUGGUUUGUGGCUCACAUAUCACUUUUGCGAUCGCAGACCUGCCACAUUUCUACCCUUCUAUGGAUUUUUGUCUUCUUUUCCGUGUUCUUGGUUCUUAAAGUUUGGUACACUACAAAACACCAAAACUUCAUAAGAAAUAACUAAAAAUACUUUAAAAGACGAGCUAAAGUCUAUGUAAUUAGUAUCAAAAGUGCCAAAAUUCUGCGGCACAUCAAUACCCCCAACUUAGACUCUUGCUUGUCCUCAAGCAACUAAAACAAAAUCAUCCUAUCAUACACUACUCUAUUUCUGAUAGAUCACAAAAUAGCAGUGAUUGUAGAUGGUGUUGACUGUCAGCUAACAAACAUGUAACUUCUUUUGUUCACCCUUUGUGGAAGACAACAAUCAUUUAGCAAUUCUGCCAAUUAACUUGUAAACUUUGAGCCUCAAGCAAAAGGACAGAAUGCUACCCACAACUAAGGGUGCACUUGUAUCCUACUUCAAGAACCUAACUUUUUCUAAAUCGUGCAAUUCAUGCGUGCUCACAACAAUGAAAAUCCCCAGCUCACAAGUAUGUACAGGGGAUACAAUCAAACACUCUUGCACUCAGAAAGAAAUCUAAAUGCUAACUAGUAUCAUUCCACAUGCUUGCCCUUAUUUUAACUCGUUGCUAUCUCAUGAAUAAUUGGUUGUAGAUCACCAAGGACUUUUCAUGGGUCGUAGUGUAGGCUUCAGGACGGGUUGGACGAAUAUUUGGGAAUGUAGUGGCUAUACCCUCCUUGAACUUCUACAUACACUUUGCUUCUUUACCACAUAGCACUUAUUGGCCUCGAGUUACCAACAUAGAACCACCUCAAAGUAUUUCUUCAGUUUUCACAACACUCCACUCCAUUUCUCUCUUUUUUUUAAUAUAUAUACAAAUGUUUUUGUUUUUUUCCUUUGGAUCUUGAGUAUCUUCAUAUAUACAACUUUGAGUUUUUUUUUCUUUUUUCUUCUACACACAUUAGGCAACCUUACCAAUUUUCACUUAACACCGACACCUACAACUUAGGAUUUUACCUCAUUCUUAAUCGUUCAAGGAUGGAUGGGUUCAAAAGAGGGAAUAUUUCACAAAGGGGUAAAGGUUUGUAAUGUGGUAGCCAAAUAAAAGAUUAAAGGCUCAACGGAGGUAACUAGGGUAAUUGAUGUGCUAAGGAGGUCAAUUUGGUCAAAAUUAGCUAGCAAUCACAAAGAGAGACUAAGAUCAUUUCAACACCCAAUCAUUAACCUAAGAGUUGCAUUAAGAAACCAACUGGACAAGUUCUAUACAUUACAAGUUAAGCAUAUGCAUUAUUUAUACAAAUCCUCACUCACUCACAAUGCAUGAACUAUUCAACUCAACAUAAUUUCAACCCCCAAGUGAAUGCAAGUCAACUCAAAGCUUCAUCGCAUGAUAUUUGAGAUUCUGAGUAAGCAUAAAUUCAAAGAGCGAGCCUCGAGUUCUCAAGAAUGACUAACGGUUUAUUUACAAAAUUAGAAGAGUGCAAUUUAUUCAACAAAAACUUAUCACAUACUUGAAGCUAGAACAACAACACCAAACAAGUCAACAUGUUUUGUGCUACUGCCAUGGUCCCCUUUUGGAAAAGAACCCGGCGAAGAAAAACCAAGGGGGAUUCAUUGCUAUCUACAAAUGUACACUAUUAAAGUAAAGAUUUUAUAUACAAGUUUUACAUAAAUAAUUUGACUACCCCACCCCAACCAAAAAACAUGCAUUGUCCCCAAUGCAUUGAGAAAGUAAGAGCAAAGUUUAGGGGCUUCUUGGGGCGAACUAGGCGCUAGGAGGGGCUGGAACAUCCAAGGCAGUUGUGGGGUCAGAUGUUGGCAUUGCGGAAGCAACAAGUGGAACCUCGAACUAUGUGGUGGUGUCUAAGGAUAGAAUAGGAAGCUCCACCUACUGUGAAGCUAGGUUUGGGGUCUGGGAGUUGCUAGCCUCACCCAAUGAUGACUAUGUGGUCGAAUGAGUGUCUUUUGCGACCAUAUCUGCAAAUGAGUGCGCAAUGGCUUUCUGCACAUCUAUUGCCUCCUCAUCCGGUGUCUCUGUAGAAACAUCCAUCUGUUUGCCUUUGUCGUCCCGCUGACCAUCAUCCUCUUCAAGUAACCACUCCUCAUCAGUUUCCUCUUUAUCAGUGUCCUCCUUAGACCCUUCAGAUUUCUCUUCUAAAUGAUCAUCUAUGUGCACAACAGGGCCCAAAGCCUAUGAAGAGGCCUGUGAGGCCUUAGUACCGUGGAUCACCUUAGUGGCCACCUCAUCUGACAUGAGGUUUCUGAAAUCAAGGUCAAGGCUAGGAAUCUGGGAGGUACCAGUGACCUGCUCCCAUGCCCCCAGAAGAAGUAAAGCAAAAUCAAACUCCAGGUUUUGCAUUUUAAGCAGUUCUGACUUUAGCUCAGCUACAUCCUUUUUGAGUUGAGGCCUGUCCCCAACUUCGCCUCACUCAACCCUCUCAAGGUGCACUUCAAAGUGCUUGGGUCGAUCCUCAUAAGACAGAUGUUGUUUUUGAAGAUCAGUGACUGAGGUUUGGAUAGAGGCCAAAGCUUGCCUGAUGAGAUAUGGAAGUUCUUUCAUCAAUUUGUCUAUUCUGGCAUUUGCAUGUUGUGCCAGUAGACCAAGCUUUGAGAUUACAGGAAAUGAGGCAGGUAGUGGUGCAAUGGCUGGUCUAGGAGUGGAUGUGGAAGUGGCUGGUAUGGAAGGAGUGUAUGAUGCGGUAGUAGGUGCUGCUGAGGCUGGAGGAGAAGUGAUUGAAGGCUUUGUUGGAUUGUUGACCACUGUAUAUGCAACAUUAUUUAUCCGGGUGAUGUCGAUAUCCUGAACAAUUGUUUCUAUGAGAUCAUGUUAGGGGAUAAGAGGAACCGUUACAGUUUUACACAAGGCAUGGAAAAGGGAGCUAAGUUGUUGUAUGGUUCGCCCGGAUCGCAAUUUCACGGUAUAUAAUCUAUCCUACAUCAACCUUGAUGCCAGUCAUGAUUCAUACAAUGAGGAUUACCUUCUCGAUGCUUAUGUCUGUUUCAUUCCUUGAGGGCAUUAGACGGGAACAGACAAAACUUAGCCAGUACCAACCUUCUUGGGUAAGAUCCCUCUUGUAGAUCAUUUGGCGCGGUGCAUUCCAGAGAGAAUUUCCCUUGGCUAUGACAGAGGCUACCCAAGCAUGCUUAGAUUCCUUGUUUUUAAUCUUUUCAUCAUAUUCUGCGGUGCCUGGCUCCCAAUCCUCAAAGUAUACAUCAAUGAUUGAUCCAGCAUCACAGAGGACUUCAACACCGUGAACUAAAACAGAGUCCAGGAACCUAUAGUUUCUCUUUUGUUCUGCGUUCCUGGAUGAAGCAUAGGCAACAUAGAAUUCCCUCGUGAGUGUUUCGUUGUACUCUCCUGGGACUUGACUGAAGGACUUCCACCACCUCUUUUUGAUGUUUUCUAGUACAUGGGUAUAGUGUUCUUUUAAGCUGUUCAAGUUGAGCUUCUUUUCUUGAAGGAUUUUUCUCUUUCCUAAGCCUUCCCUAUACAGGGUCCAAGAGCCGAAAACCCCAAACCUAAGAUCUUCAUCACUUUUUUGGCGUGCUUCAACAUGGAGGUCAACAGGUAGCACAAGAUCAGUCUGUGCCUCAUCCUCUUUAGACUGGGAAGAAUGCUCAGAUAUCCUUCUGGCUAUGUCAGGCCGGGUGCGUUUGGAUUGUUGUGUUAGUGGGUGAGUAGUUGAUAUAGCAUGAGAAACAUAUUAAGAGAAUUUAAAGGAACCAAGAAAUAUUUACGAGGAGUUAUGAGAGAAGGGGUUUAUUAGGCCUAGUGUGUCCCCCUAGGGUGCGACGGUUCUGUUUAUGUAGAAAAAGGAUGGCUCUAUGCGGAUGUGCAUUGAUUAUAGGUAGUUGAAAAAAGUCAAAAUCAAGAGCAAGUAUCCUUUGUCGUGUAUUGAUCACCCAUUUGACCAGCUUCAGGGAGCAAGGGUGUUCUCCAAGAUUUAUUUGAGGUCAGGGUAUCACCAAAUUUAAGAUUUGGGACUCGGAUAUUCUUAAGACAACUUUCAGGACCCGUUAUGGUCAUUAUGAGUUCCUUAUGAUGUCUUUUGGGCUGACCAAUGCCCCAACAACGUUCAUACAUCUGAUGAAUAGUGUGUUUUAGCCUUAUCUUGACUCAUUUGUUAUUGUAUUAAUUGAUGAUGUCCUGGUGUAUUCUCGUGGCCAGGAUGAGCAUGCCCAACAUUUGCGUAUCGUGUUGCAGCGGUUGAGGGAGGAGAAACAUUAUGUUAAGUUCUCCAAGUGUGAUUUCUGGCUCAUUUCUGUGGCAUCUUGGGGCACGUAGUCUAGUGAGGGUAUUCAGGUAGAUCCAAAGAAGAUAGAGGCAGUUCAGAUUUGGUCCAAACCGUCCACAACUACAGAAAUUCAGAGCUUUCUUGGGUUGGCUGGUUAUUACCGCCGGUUCGUGCAGGAUUUCUCGUCUAUUGCAUUGCCUUUGACCAAAUUGACCCAAAAGGUUGCUCCUUUUAGGUGGUCGGAUGAGUGUGAGGAGAGCUUUCAGAAGCUCAAGGCUGCCUUGACCACAACUCCAGUUCUAGUUCUAGCAUCAGCUUAUGGUUUUUAUAUAGUAUAUUGUGAUGCUUCUCGUAUCAGUAUUUGGUGUGUUUUGAUGCAACAGGGUAGAGUGAUUGCUUAUGCUUCAUGCUAGUUGAAGCCCCAUGAGAAUAACUAUCUUGUUCAUGACUUGGAGUUGACUGCCAUUGUUCAUGCAUUGAAGAUUUGGAGGCACUAUCUCUAUGGUGUGUCUUGUGAGGUAUUUACCGAUCAUCGUAGCCUCUAGCACUUGUUAAAAUAGAAGGAUCUCAAUUUGAGGCAGCGGAGAUGGUUGGAGCUACUAAAAGACUGUGAUAUUACUAUUAUGUAUCAUCCAGGAAAGGUCAAUGUGAUGGUCGAUGCCUUGAGUAGGACGGCAGUGAGUAUGGGUAGUUUUGCAUUCAUUCUUGUAGGGGAGAUGCCUCUUGCAGUUGAUGUUCAGGCUUUGACCAACCAGUUCAUGAGAUUUCGGAGCCAAAUCGGGUUCUAGCUUAUGUGGUUUCUCGGUCUUCCUUAUUUGAUCGCAUCAGAGAGCGCUUGUAUGAUGACACUCAUUUGCUUGUCCUCAAGGACAAGGUUCAACACGAUGAUGCCAUAGAUGUAACUAUUGGAGAUGAUAGGGUAUUGAAGAUGCAAGGAUGGAUAUGUGUGCCUAAUGUAGAUGGGCUACGGGUGUUGAUUCUUGAGGAGGACCACAGCUCGCGGUAUUCCAUCCAUCUGGGUGUCGCAAAGAUAUACUAAUACCUGAGGCAGCACUAUUGGUGGAGGAGAAUGAAGAAGGAUAUAGUUGGAUUUGUAGCUCGGUGUCUCAACUAUCAGCAAGUAAACUAUGAGCAUCAUAGACGGGGUGGAUUUCUUCAAAAGAUAGAGAUUCCAGAGUGGAAGUAGGAGCGGAUCACCAUGGAUUUUGUAGUUGGGCUCCCAUGUACUUCGAGGAAGUUUGAUGCUAUUUGGGUGAUUGUGGAUCGGUUGACCACGUUCACGUACUUCAUUCCUAUGAGUACUACUUAUUCUUCAUAUCGGUGCACUGAGAUUUACAUUAGAAAGAUUGUUCGCCUACACGGUGUGCCAGUUUCCACUAUCUUAUAUAGAGUCAUACAGUUUGCAUCGCAAUUUUGAAGAGCCGUGCAGCGAGAGUUGGGCACUCAGGUUGAGUUGAGCACAACAUUUAACCCUCAGAUAGACGGACAGUCCGAGCGCACUAUUCAAAUAUUGGAGGACAUGCUACGCGUUUGUCAUUGAUUUCGGGGGUUCAUGUUUCUGACGCUCGCGGAAUUUGCUUACAACAACAAUUAUCAGUCGAGUAUUAAGAUGGCUCCGUAUGAGGCUUUAUAUGGGAGGUAGUGUAGAUCUCCAGUAGGUUGGUUUGAGUCGGCGAGGCUAGACUAUUGGGUACUGACUUGGUUCAUGAUGCUUUGGACAAGGUUAAAUUGAUUCAGGAGUGGCUUCACAUGACAGUCAAGACAAAAGAGUUAUAUUGAUAGAAAGGUUCGUGAUGUGUCUUACAUGGUUAGGGAGAAGGUUCUGCUGACGGUUUCACCAAUCAAGGGUGUUAUGAGCUCGGUUCAUUGGGCCUUUUGAGGUACUUUAGAGGAUUGGGAAGGUGACUUACAAGCUUNNNNNNNNNNNNNNNNNNNNNNNNNNNNNNNNNNNNNNNNNNNNNNNNNNNNNNNNNNNNNNNNNNNNNNNNNNNNNNNNNNNNNNNNNNNNNNNNNNNNNNNNNNNNNNNNNNNNNNNNNNNNNNNNNNNNNNNNNNNNNNNNNNNNNNNNNNNNNNNNNNNNNNNNNNNNNNNNNNNNNNNNNNNNNNNNNNNNNNNNNNNNNNNNNNNNNNNNNNNNNNNNNNNNNNNNNNNNNNNNNNNNNNNNNNNNNNNNNNNNNNNNNNNNNNNNNNNNNNNNNNNNNNNNNNNNNNNNNNNNNNNNNNNNNNNNNNNNNNNNNNNNNNNNNNNNNNNNNNNNNNNNNNNNNNNNNNNNNNNNNNNNNNNNNNNNNNNNNNNNNNNNNNNNNNNNNNNNNNNNNNNNNNNNNNNNNNNNNNNNNNNNNNNNNNNNNNNNAUGUUUAUAUGCUCCAAAAGUAUAUCAGCGAUCCGACUCAUGUUUUGGAUUUCAGCACGGUUUAGUUGGACGGUGAUUUGACUUAUGAUGUGGAUCCGGUGGCUAUUUUGGAGCGGUAGGUCCGAAAGUUGAGGUCAAAGGAUAUAGAAUCAGUGAAAGUGCAUUGGAGAGGUUAGCCUCAUCGAGCGAGAGAUGCAGAGCUGAUAUCCACACCUAUUUAUGGCUCCAGGUAUGUUUCUAGACCCGUUCAAGGAUGAGCAUUUGUUUAAAAGGGGGAGGAUGUAACGACCCGGCCAGUCAUUUCGAGAGUUGUCGCCCUGUUCCCCCAUUUUCUACUUCUUUUGUGUUCUACAACUGUAUUAUGACUUAUCGGGUUAGUUGGUUCUAUUCUGGAGUGAGUUCAGAACGAAUUGAGACACUUAGUCUCUUAUUUGAAAGCUUAAGUUGGGAAAGUUGACCCUUCAAACAACCUCAGAUUUGAAUUUUGAUGGUUUCGUUAGCUCCGUUAGGUGAUUUCAAACUUAUGAGUGUGUCUGGAUUAUGAUUUGGAGGUCUAUAGUAGAAUUAGGCAUGGAAUACCGAAAGUUGUAAUUUUGGAAAGUUUGACGGGGGAUGGACUUUUUGAUAUCGGGGUCGGAUUGGAUUUCCGGAAGUUGGAAUAGGUUUGUGGUGUCAUUUAUGACUUGUGUGCUAAAUUUGAGGUCCAUCGGAUGUGAUUUGAUAGGUUUUGACGUCAUUUGUAGAAUUUGAAAAUUUCAAAGUUCAUUAGGCUUGAAUCCGUGUAUAAUUCAUGUUUCUGAUAUUGUUUGAGGUGAUUUGAGGAUUCAACUAAGUUUGUAUCGGGUUGUAAGACUUGUUGAUAUGGUUGGUUAAGGUCCAAGAGCCUAGGGUUGAUUUUGGGUGGUUAACAGAAUUGAUUUUGCGUUGGUGAAGCAGCUGAAAUGUUGUUGCUACUUGUGUAACCGCACCUGCGGAGUGGGCACCGUAGGUGCGAGCCCGCAGAAGCGUGGAAUGAAUCGCAGAAGAGGCCAAGUAAGAGUUGGGCAGAGGUCGCAGGUGCGAAGACUUUUCCGCACCUGCGAUGAUCAUAGAAGCAGGCAGAACAGCGCAAAUGCGAGAUUGAUCCGCAUGUGCGAUGUGAUUUCCACACCUGCAAUGUCCGCAGAUGCAGUCUACUGAUCGCAGAAGCGGAGGCAGCUAGAUAAGUGACUUUCGCAGAAGUUGGAAUUUAACCGUAGAAGCGGUCCCGCAUGAGCGGAUAAAUGGCCGCAGGUGCGAAAAGCCUGGGCAAAAUGAUUAAAAACAAGGGUUCACAAUUUUAGUCUCAUUUCAACAUUUUGGACUCGGACUUGGGCGAUGUUGGAGAGGAUUUUCAAGGGGAUUAUUGAGUUAAGCUUCUUGUACUCAUUUUUUAUCAUAAAUCUCAUUUCGUCAUAGUUUUUCCCACCUAGAUUGUGAGGUGUUGAGGUGAAAUGUGGGGGUUUGAGGCUAGGGAUUUGGAAAGUUAUUUUUGGGGAUUUGAAGGACCAUUUGAUGUCGGAUUUUGAUAAAUUUGGUAUGGUUAGACUCGUGAGUGAAUGGUCUUUCAGGUUUUGUGACUUUUUUUGGAUUUCAAGACGUGGGCCCCAAGGCCGGGUUUGAGCCGAUUUCGGAUUUUUGGCUAUGAUUUAGUACUUUUCUUAUGGAAUUGAUCCCUUUAGCCUAUAUUGAUUGUAUUGUACUACUUGUGGCUAGAUUCAGGACGUUUGGAGGCCGAUUUGAUAGGCAAAGGUAUUUCAGGGUAUAGAUUUGCUCGGUUUGAGGUAAGUAACGCUUUCAAACUUGGUUCUGAGGGUUUGAAAAUGUAUUAUAUGAUUGGUAUUGAGGUGGCGCACAAGCCAAGUGAAGGGCGUGCGGGCGUACAUCGAGAGAAUUGUGACCUGGUUGAUUCCAUGACAUUGUAUAGUGACUCUAUCUUUUUGAUAUCCGUGUUUUCAUCAUGCGAUAAAGUAAUUGAGUUGCCAAUCAUGUUAGAUAUCAUGUUUAGGAUUUAUGCCGGUACUGUUGUGACCCCUAGUGGUCGUUUCUUGCUGUCAUCUCACUAAUUUCAUUGAUAUUAUGUACUUGGUCAUGUUCAUGCAUUUUAUAUCAUAUCUCAGUCUCGGUUGUUAUUUAUUGAUACAUCAUAUCAUUGUUUCGGGCUAGUUUUCAUGACAUUGUGAGCCCAUGAGUGAUAUUGGAGAGAUUGGUGACUGAGUAAGGCCGAGAGCCUGAUUAUGAGUGACAGUUAUGGGAUCGGGCUGCACGCCACAAUGGUUAUACUGAUAGUUCUUAUUGAUAUUUGGUAAUGUGAUUCAUUUUACACUUACAUAUGUGCCAGAUACCCAAAUGGGGGUAGAAAAUUUUCUUUGUUUUGUCUUUUUUAUUGAAGUCAGGAGCCCACCUGGAGAGCAGAGAAUACAUUCAAGUUUAACAGUCAGGAGCCUGUCUGGAGAGCAGGGAAUACAUUCCAAGUUUAGCAAUGAGGAGCCCACCUGGUGAGCAGGGAAUACAUUUCAAGUUCAGCAGUCAAGAGCCCGCCUGGAGAGCAGGGAAUACAUUUCAAGUUAGCAGUCAGGGGCCCUGUCUGGAGAAAGGGUCAGUUUUUUCUUUAAUCAAGCUUAGUUUAUAGUUUUCCUAGUCUAUUCUUUAGUUUACUUUCAUCAUUGCAUCAAUAGUACAAGUGGUUUACAAUUUUGCUAACAACUCACAAAUCUUCCCAGUGCAAACUGGGGCAGAAAAAUUUCUUUGUUUUGUCUAUUUUGUUGUAAUUAGGCGCCACCUGGAGAACAAGGGGAGACAACUCAAGUUUCUAGGGAAAGCAAUGUCGAAGGAAGACAACUCGAGUUUCAAGGGAAAGCAGUUUCAAAGGAAGACAGUUCAAGUUUCAGGGGAAAAUGGUUCAAAGUGCAAGGGAGAACAGUGUCAAGUAACAAGAGAAGGCGGUUCAAGUUCAGCAAUCAGGCUCCCACCUGGGAAAAAAGGGAAUUCAAUUCAGAAUGCAAUUCAGGUCAUUAAUAAAAAAAGCUCGCGUCAAGAAUGCGAGUCAGCAGUCCUAGAUGAUCAACAGAAGUUAGUCACAAUAAAGGGAAAAAAGAGAAAGGCAACAAGUUAAUCCAAAUGCAAAAGUUGAUGAAGAAUGUGAGCUGUCCAAGACAUGGCCGAGGUCACAAGCACUACAUGUCCGGUCUUGAUCCAAAAAUCUGAAGAAGAACGAGCUAGCACCUGCAACUAGCAAGUGUUAAGGUUCAAAUCCAAAGUCUGCAUGAAGAACCACUCAAGACUCAAGAUCAAGCUUCAGAAGACUAUAGAUAGGAAUCUUGUAACUCGUAGUUUAUAGGCUUAGCUAGUCUUUCUCAUGUUUUGAUUUUUGAUGUAAUAACAGGACUGUGGACCGGAACCUCGGCAAAACGGCACCUCAACCGGCUCUCUACCUUGGUAUACUCCAUCACCUCAUUCACCUCUGAACUACACGUGACCUGAAUCCUUUAUAGCCAAGGAUAUAUAGGCAGCUCAGAUACUAGAGCUCGGUCACAUUCCCCUCUCUCUUAGUUUUAGUUUCUUCAAAUAAGGGUUGGGUCAAAAAACUUGUCUGGUCAUUCUUUGUCUGAAAAUACUACGUCUUUCCAGUCAAAGAGGGGCAGCUGUAGACAUGUGAUUUUUUACCCUCCCCAAGAUUUUUCAUAUUUUAGCGCGUAAAUAUUUAAUUUAGGCAUAAUAUAGAUAUUUUAAGUUAUUUUGACUCUUUUACUUUAUUUUAUUAUAAGAAAACAAAAAUAGGUUCAUUAAUGUUUUGUAGUCAUUUUUAAUCUUAAAAAAAUACAAAAAUAGUAUCAUAUUUUUAUUUUAAUAUGAUAUUUGAAAAUACCAAAAAUAGAUUUGUUUUAAUGGUUAGUUUUAUUUUAAUAAUUAUUUGAAUAGUAGGAUUAAUUGAUAAAUGGGAUCGUAUUUUUAAUCUCGUUCGCAGGGAAAGAAUAGAACUUGGGCUCAAGCAACCCAUUUUAGGCCUAAUUUUGGACCUAGCCCAUAAUUCCUAGGCCCAUACCCCUUAACCUAAAAACCCUACAACUAUCUAGACCUAGACUCUACACUAUAAAAGAAUGCCUAAGACUAAAGAAAAAAGAGAGGAUGGAUAAAAAGAAAAGCUAAAGCUGCGCAGCUUUUGGACAAACCCCUUUCCCCUGAAGGUCUUCUUCUUCGACCAUUCCCCAUCUUUUUCUCAAUUUUCCUUCAGCAGCGAAAAACCCAAACAGUGACCCUUAAACGUUAAUCACCAAACGAUCCCUGAUAUCAUCUCCUUCACCCCCGUCAGCCACGCCGCCAGUCCGCCGGAAAAUACAGCUCCCAUCCAUCGAGCAGCUCGUCUUCUUACUUAGCUGAAUGACGACCCCCUAUGAACCUUGAGCUUUUGUUCUUCAUCUGUUGAAACUAAAAACCACCGAGCUUCAGCCGAACCUAGACCUAGAUGAACACAAAAGAGACCUAAUGCCUAGACACUACAAAGAGAUCAGGCGCAGAACCAAAAGAGACACCGAUCUGCUGCAGAACACCAAAUGACCCCCAUCGAUCCCCAUUCCCAUUGCCGCUACUCCUACUUCUUUCCGGUUACUUCUGCGCCGGAAGGUGAUAGUUCUGGCGAAAAAAUCCGGCGACCACCAUUGAAACCGACGAACACACACACACACAUGCAAGGGACAGGAAACGGGCAGAACAAAACAAACUAUAUAACAAAAGGAGAUUCGGAGUGAGUUCGUCGUUCGAGUCGUCGAGGUCAAGUUUUUCGACGUGGUCUUUGUUUAACGGGUUUAUUCGACGUUGCGAUUAAGGUCCAGAUGCCUAGUAUGUAGCUCGCUCGGAGAUUGUGCGGUCUUAGAGCUUUAUUUUCAUUAUAUUUGCUCCAGAAUUUCAAUAAUAGAAGGUCACUUCUUCCAUUUCAUUCUUCUUCUGCUGCUUUGUUUCUGUGACAAAUCUUGUCAAGCUAUCAAUGUGCUAACCUAAAAUAUAUUUGUUUUUGCUGGAAAAGCUCAAGUAAAAUUCAAAAUCCGCGUAUAUGCUACGAUAUGCUGUGGCUUUCGAGUUUUAUUUACGUUUUAGUUUCAGCUCCAUUAUACUGUUUCUAGCUCUUGAAUUUAAAAAUGGCAAUUGGAAUUAUGUUUUGACUCUGUUGUGCCGUGGAUGGAAUGGUGUUUGAAAAUUUUUGGUUUCUUAUGUCAAAAAG